ACUCAAAGGAAUUGACGGGGACCCGCACAAGCAGCGGAGCAUGUGGUUUAAUUCGAAGCAACGCGAAAAACCUUACCAAGACUUGACAUCGUAUGAUCAUCAUAGAAAUAUGGUUUCUCUUCGGAGCAUAUAGACAGAUGGUGCAUGGUUGUCGUCAGCUCGUGUCGUGAGAUGUUGGGUUAAGUCCCAAAACGAGCGCAACCCUUAUCGGUAGUUGCCAAUAUUUAGUUAGGAACUCUGCCGAGACCGCCGCUGUAAGGUGGAGGAAGGAAGGGAUGACGUCAAAUCAUCAUGCCUCUUACGUCUUGGGCUACACACGUGCUACAAUGGCCAUUACAAAGAGCAGCAACAUGGUAACAUCGAGCAAAUCUCACAAAAAUGGCCUCAGUUCAGAUUGUGGGCUGCAACCCGCCCACAUGAAGUAGGAGUUGCUAGUAAUCCCGAAUCAGCAUGUCGGGGUGAAUGCGUUCCCGGGUCUUGUACACACCGCCCGU
RNAcentral lists this ribosomal RNA (494 nucleotides) under uncultured bacterium. RNAcentral's name for it is "bacterial SSU rRNA". It matches the Rfam family "Bacterial small subunit ribosomal RNA", at positions 899 to 1397 of the family's 1533-position model. The record is from RNAcentral.